RNAcentral lists this ribosomal RNA (254 nucleotides) under uncultured bacterium. Its description in RNAcentral is "partial 16S ribosomal RNA". It matches the Rfam family "Bacterial small subunit ribosomal RNA", at positions 524 to 776 of the family's 1533-position model. The record is from RNAcentral.
UACGUAGGGCGCGAGCGUUAUCCGGAUUUACUGGGUUUAAAGGGUGCGUAGGCGGCGGGAUAAGUCCGUGAUGAAAUGCCGGGGCUCAACCUUGGGCGCCGUUACGGAUACUGUUCGGCUUGAGUGCGUCCGAGGCCUUUGGAAUGAGUGGUGUAGCGGUGAAAUGCGUAGAGAUCACUCGGAACACCGAUUGCGAAGGCAGGGGGCCGGGGCGCGACUGACGCUGAGGCGCGACAGCGUGGGGAGCAAACCGG